GUGCCAGCAGCCGCGGUAAUACGUAGGUCCCGAGCGUUGUCCGGAUUUAUUGGGCGUAAAGCGAGCGCAGGCGGUUAGAUAAGUCUGAAGUUAAAGGCUGUGGCUUAACCAUAGUACGCUUUGGAAACUGUUUAACUUGAGUGCAAGAGGGGAGAGUGGAAUUCCAUGUGUAGCGGUGAAAUGCGUAGAUAUAUGGAGGAACACCGGUGGCGAAAGCGGCUCUCUGGCUUGUAACUGACGCUGAGGCUCGAAAGCGUGGGGAGCAAACAGGAUUAGAUAC
RNAcentral lists this ribosomal RNA (280 nucleotides) under uncultured Streptococcaceae bacterium. RNAcentral's name for it is "partial 16S ribosomal RNA". It matches the Rfam family "Bacterial small subunit ribosomal RNA", at positions 505 to 785 of the family's 1533-position model. Lineage: Bacteria; Bacillati; Bacillota; Bacilli; Lactobacillales; Streptococcaceae. The record is from RNAcentral.